CGCAGCGCCGCCCUGGGUGGCGGCCUAGGCCCGGGGCCGGGGUGCUGGAGAUAUAGAUAGAUAGAUAUAUAGCUAUAGAUAUAUCUAUAUAUAUAGAUAUAAUAUCUCCAGUGGGCUGGAUAUAUUCAGCCAUUUGGUCCCAAAACAUGACAGUCUUUUUUUUUUUUGUUCCUUCAUUAUUCUGUGACUGAGGUUUUAAGAAACAAUAUCAAAUGCUGUUUAUCCAGACCCAAGACAAAACUUGAACUAAUUGGCAAUGCUGACUGACACGGGAGGCCACGCUGAGGCUGAAGACACGCUAGUCCUUCUUCAUUCUAGGAGAAAAGGAUAAAUAAGUUUCUUUAUGGAGCAUGACAGCCGAAAAUAUAAAAGCCACCAACUGGUACAGCAGCUAGAUAGAAAGCUUGAGCUAAAGCUAACUCAUAAGUAGUAAGAGGAAUUUCUCUUGCAACUGAAGAAAAUGAAGAAGCUGAGGCACUGACUAGAUUCUGCUUGUGCGUAAGGAGCAUAAAGCUAUCAGAAAACGUAGAGCAGAUGAGGAGAUAAAUUAGCGUGAUCUUGAGAGGGAGCCUGAACUCAGAAACUAUGAGCGAGGAAAUUGCUCCUAUUAUUCCUCCUGAUCUUUAGCAAUAAACAGGAUCAUAUCAAAUCUAUCUCAUUCCAUUCUCUAUUUUUCUCCCAAAUAUUGUCUAGCUACAUGGGGCCAAAGGGGCAAGAGCAAAGACUUCAACUGUGGAUGCAGCUAUACUGGACUAAAGUUCGUCC
Molecule: long non-coding RNA, 765 nt
Filed under: Struthio camelus australis
Lineage: Eukaryota; Metazoa; Chordata; Aves; Struthioniformes; Struthionidae
Description: lncRNA (ENSSCUG00000000892.1)
Source: RNAcentral